Molecule: ribosomal RNA, 497 nt
Filed under: uncultured bacterium
Lineage: Bacteria
Description: partial 16S ribosomal RNA
Rfam family: Bacterial small subunit ribosomal RNA
Source: RNAcentral
GAUGAACGCUGGCGGCGUGCCUAAUACAUGCAAGUCGAGCGAACAGACGAGGAGCUUGCUCCUCUGACGUUAGCGGCGGACGGGUGAGUAACACGUGGAUAACCUACCUAUAAGACUGGGAUAACUUCGGGAAACCGGAGCUAAUACCGGAUAAUAUAUUGAACCGCAUGGUUCAAUAGUGAAAGACGGUUUUGCUGUCACUUAUAGAUGGAUCCGCGCCGCAUUAGCUAGUUGGUAAGGUAACGGCUUACCAAGGCAACGAUGCAUAGCCGACCUGAGAGGGUGAUCGGCCACGCUGGAACUGAGACACGGUCCAGACUCCUACGGGAGGCAGCAGUAGGGAAUCUUCCGCAAUGGGCGAAAGCCUGACGGAGCAACGCCGCGUGAGUGAUGAAGGUCUUCGGAUCGUAAAACUCUGUUAUUAGGGAAGAACAAAUGUGUAAGUAACUAUGCACGUCUUGACGGUACCUAAUCAGAAAGCCACGGCUAACUACGUG